GACGAGGGAUCCUAGCGUUGUUCGGAAUCAUUGGGCGUAAAGCGCACGUAGGCGGCUUUUUAAGUCGGGGGUGAAAUCCUGGAGCUCAACUCCAGAACUGCCCUCGAUACUGAAGAGCUUGAGUUCGGGAGAGGUGAGUGGAACUGCGAGUGUAGAGGUGAAAUUCGUAGAUAUUCGCAAGAACACCAGUGGCGAAGGCGGCUCACUGGCCCGAUACUGACGCUGAGGUGCGAAAGCGUGGGGAGCAAACAGG
RNAcentral lists this ribosomal RNA (253 nucleotides) under uncultured bacterium. Its description in RNAcentral is "partial 16S ribosomal RNA". It matches the Rfam family "Bacterial small subunit ribosomal RNA", at positions 524 to 776 of the family's 1533-position model. The record is from RNAcentral.